AGUUCUAAUAUAAACAUUUUUUUUUUUUUUAUUAGCUUCGCCAACUAGGGCAGGGUCACCACAACAGCAUCUGCCAAUUACUGUGGGCCCUUUUUUUUACCUAACCCACCCUGUCAACUUUUCCCUGUGGGAGGAAACCGGAGUACCCGGGGAAAACCCACGGCGUUCGGCAGAGCGUUGACUUUUACUCUUUUCACAUGGGGACUGCGUUCGAGUCGCACUGAGAAGGUACUUAGUGAGAUUCGAACCUGCAGCCUCAGAGGUGAAAGGCAAGUGCGCUAACCACUUGGCCACCGUAGCUCCUUCGUACCACUAGUAGCCCCUUCGUACCGUAACCACUUGGCCACCGUAGCCC
Molecule: non-coding RNA, 355 nt
Organism: Paramuricea clavata
Lineage: Eukaryota; Metazoa; Cnidaria; Anthozoa; Malacalcyonacea; Plexauridae
Source: the annotation of a GenBank genome assembly